This 321-nucleotide ribosomal RNA is filed under the name Uroleucon cichorii. Its description in RNAcentral is "partial 12S ribosomal RNA". Lineage: Eukaryota; Metazoa; Arthropoda; Insecta; Hemiptera; Aphididae. The record is from RNAcentral.
UACCCUAUUAUAAAAAUUUAAAUUAAUUUACUAAAAGAUUAAUAGUUAUGUUCUUUAAAUUUAAAAAAUUUGGCGGUAUUUUAGUCUUAUUAGAGGAACCUGUUUUUUAAUUGAUAAUCCACGAUUAAUUUUACUUAUUUUUAUAAUUUAUAUAUCGCUGUCAUGAAUAUAUUUAAAAAUUUAUUUUCUUUAUUUAUUUUUAUAAUUUAUGUUAAGUCAAGAUGUGGUUUAUAAAUAAGUUUAUAAUGGGUUACAUUAAAUUUUAUUUAUGGAUUUAAAAUGAAAAUUAAUAUGAAAUUGGAUUUAAUAGUAAAUUUAAUA